GAAUGAUACCGCAUCCGGCAAUCGGCCCUUCCUGAUCUCGCAGUACUGCAAUGUUGCAAUUUCAAUAAAUUUGUCCACUUGCUCAAAGUUCACAGCAAACGCAGAUUCCAAGGAUUUUGUAUAAAUUAACAUUCUUUGUUGUAAGAGAAGCCAAGCCGGAAACCACGUUCCUGUUACACCUUCCUAAAGAAGUAUAAUAUACAUCAUAAUCGUACAGAGAAAAAAAAAA
Long non-coding RNA from Pogonomyrmex barbatus (red harvester ant), 229 nucleotides. The record is from RefSeq and is a predicted model, not a curated record. Lineage: Eukaryota; Metazoa; Arthropoda; Insecta; Hymenoptera; Formicidae.